Rattus norvegicus (Norway rat) is the source of this 22905-nucleotide non-coding RNA. The record is from RefSeq and is a predicted model, not a curated record. NCBI's taxonomy places the organism in Eukaryota, Metazoa, Chordata, Mammalia, Rodentia, Muridae.
ACCUUUUACACCGAUAACAGUUGAUUGUGAAGCCCAGUUGAUAUAAUUGGAGAAGACCCUUUGGGGAGCCAGGCUUGGUGGUGUGCAUGGGUACCCAGCCUCCCAGCAUCCCACAAGUUCCAGGCUGUCUGGGAUAUAUAUAGAGAGAGGGUCAGGGAGAGGGGGAGAGUUGGGGAAGAUUUGGGAGACAUUGUUUUGGUGACAGAUCACUUAGAAGAAGCCCGUUUUCUGACCACUGAAGCCUGUUUCACUGAGUAACUUCUGAAAUUGCCUGAGCUUGCUCCUGCCUCAGAAAAUCAUAUUUAAUGACCUAAUUCACAGGCUCUGGCAUCAUGAGUAGGGAGACAUAACACUGAGGAGUGAGCUGGAUACUUCUGACUCUCUGGACAAACCCAUUCUAGAACGUUCUUUCCUCUUUGUCUGUCUCUGUGUUUGAAAAGUACAGGGCUUGGUUCUCAGUCCUUGCUGCCUGGUGUAUACCUGAACCAGGGAGCUCCCAGUCAGGCACAAACCUGGUUCAUUAAAGCGUCCUCUUCUCUGGCCUUGGAUAACACAAGUUCAUGACUGCACCCGUGAGCUUUUCACUCAGGAAAGCUGUCUGUUACUCUCCCUGGUCGAAUUAGGCUGAACAUGACUCCAAGUGUACACGUGUGUAAAGGAUGUAUACAAGUGAGACAUAUAUUGGCAACAGCUCAUACCAGUUAUUUAAAAAUACAGUUCUUUGGUAGACACUAACUUUUACUAUUAAAGGACAAAGCGGACUUGUGUACUAAUGAGAUGUACGUGUGUGUUUCUUUUGACACACAGAGUUAAAUCUCGAUUGAGUAUUUGAUAUUGUAGAUGGGACAUGCUCAAAGCUGUCGGGGCUCAGAGCACUUCACAUAAGCACCCAGUACAAGACAGCGGGAUGUUUAAGACCAUUUCAAAAAUUGUUGGACAUUCUAUCCUAAGCAUAAGCCAAAAUUCGUUAAAUGAUGUUUAAAAAUGUUUUUAGUUGUUGUUGCUGUGGUGUGUGUGUAUGUGUGUGUGUGUGUGUGUGUGUAUGUGUGUGUGUGUUGUGUGUGUGGUGUGUGUAUGGUGUGUGUGUGUCUGAGUGUGUGUAUGUGUGUGCAUGUGUGUGUAUGGUGUGUGUGUAUGUGUGUGUGUAUGUGUGUGUGUGUUGUGUGUGUUGUGUGUGUGUCUGAGUGUGUGUAUGUGUGUGCAUGUGUGUGUAUGGUGUGUGUGUAUAUGUGUGUGUUGUGUGUGCAUGUGUGUGUGGUGUGUGUAUGGUGUGUGUGUGUCUGAGUGUGUGUAUGUGUGUGCAUGUGUGUGUGUAUGUGUGUGUGGUGUGUGUGUAUGUGUGUGUGUGUGUGCCUGUGUGUGUGUGUCUGAGUGUGUGUAUGUGUGUAUGUGUGUGUGUAUGGUGUGUGUGUGUUGUGUGUGUUGUGUGUGUGUGUCUGAGUGUGUGUAUGUGUGUGCAUGUGUGUGUGUGUGUGUUGUGUGUGCAUGUGUGUGUGUGUAGGCACACAUGACACUUGUUUCGGGGAUCAAAACUUGGGCCUUCGGGUUUGGUGGCAAGUGCUUUUACUCACUGAGCCCUCUGUGCCGCUCUGUUUAAGGACUUUAAAACCAAACACUCUAGCUGAGCACACUCCAGAGAUAACACGGCUUUGAUCCUACUGAGGCACAAUAGGGCAAUGUGGACAACAUCUUUGUCCUUAUAAUUCAUCCAUCACGCUUCUGUAUGAGCAGAAACUAAUUUGUGUCUCGGGGAGUCUGAGCCUCAGUGUUCCGGGCAGUGUUUGUUGUGUGUUCAGAAUCAAAGCUGCAGUGAAGUCACAUGACACAACAUGGGCAUCACGUGAUAUAACAUGGGCGAGCGUUGCCAACAACUCCCCGGCUCCGUUACAUGUUUGCUUUUGAAAUGAUUUGUUAUUGUUGUGUGUUCAGAAGCCUUUUACUCCUGCCAAAUCUUUCACAACCCCCACAUUUAGUCACUGUACCCCAGACGAGGCUGUCACCACAGUUUCAGAAGCUGGGCGUCACAGACUGCAGUGUUUGUGGCGAGGGGCCAGAGUUCAGAGCAGGCUUCUGUAGUAGCGCGGACUCAGACGAGGUGCUUAACCCCUCAUCAUUAAAAUAGAGGUGGCAACAGUACCCAGCGCACAGUGCUGGUGUGAUGCGGUGUGGACCGCUCCCGCAGAAGACCCCAGUUUGGUUCCCAGCAGUCGUGUCCAGCAACCUCCAACCACUCGAACACCUCCAGGCGUUGCAAUGCCCUCUUUUGACCUCCAUGGACACUGUGCUCACUUGUACAAACACAUCUGCAGAUAAUUAAAACUGAAAGUAAAAUAGUUUUUAAAAUUUUUUUUUUUAAAGAAAUGUUGGUUGCUGUCAUUUGACGUGAUUUGUUCUCUGGGUGGCCUUUCUUUGGCUUUAGUUCUCCCACCUGUGAAUUGGAAGGCUGUGUUCUAGUACUUGUUACCGCUCACCCCUGCCUGCCUCUUGACAGUGGUCUGUUCCAUUCCCUGUGUCUUAGCCUGGACUCCUGGCUUCUGGAGGGGAAGCACUAUGUGUCCCCUCAUCUUUCUUGCCUAUGCACAGCACCAUGGGUAGCACCUGACUCGGAGAGCCAUAGCACUCCUGUCUAAGCCUGACUGACAGCUGCCUAGGGUUGGAGUGGUCUGGGGCACUGUUUGCUGGCCCCAGUGUCAUGUGCACAGGGGCGAGAACCAAGGACCCCAGGGAAGGGAAGCUGCAGGCAGCAGUGGGGACGGGAAGAGCUGGAGCCAGAGAGGGAGCUAGAAUCUGUAUCAGCAAACCUGCCCACCUUGCAGCAGGAGUGAGCAUUUUGCACAGAAACUGCUGUGGUCUGGCUGUAAUUAAGAUGAGCUAAUGAGAGACUCUCAGGCUAUCCUUUAGAGAGACUCUGUUGCUGCUGCCAUCGCUGGAUGGAAGAAGGCAGUUACCCCUGGGACCAGCAUGGAUACAAAGGUUGAAGGGAAUCUCUAUACAUGAAGUGCAUAGCUCAGUCACAAGAGAGAGCCCAGGCUAGCAGAGCGGGAAGCUGACCAGCAGAGGCAGCCUGGGACCUGGGAAGAGCAGAGCCAGGAGGUAGACUGCUGCAAUUCAAACCGGCCCCAUCUCUGUGUGAACACCAUUUCCCUCCUCAUCCAUACAAUGGGGUCAUAAUCCUAAACGCAGCACACGUGUUAUAUUUCUUUGUUUCCUAUUUACCUCGGCAUGGAAAGUGUUAGAGAAUUGUUCUAGUGAGGUGUUUCUUUGUUGAGAGAGUGACAUGAAGGUAUUUCAGGAAAGAGGUGAGCCAAUGUUAUCCGGAUGAGGCUAUGAGAGUCAGUGGAGGGAACCGGACAAGACAUGGUGCUAGGGACAGAGCUUAGAGGUAGAUCCCCUGCCUCAUGUGCAUGAGGUGCAGGACUUGAUCCCCAGAUUCAUAUACAAUAGAAUAUAAAUAUGAGUAAAUAAAUAAUUAAGCUGGGUGUGGUGGUACAUACCUGUAAUCCCAGCACGUGAGAACCUGAGACAGUGAGAUCACUAUAAGAGGCCAACUUGGUUUACAUAGCAAUGACCAAAACUGACCAGGGCUAUAGAGACCCUGUAACACCCCACUAAAAAUAAAGGAAACAACAACAAAAAAGCAAGUAUAAUUUUAAAUUAUUCAUUCAUUUAUUAUGUGCACGCACGUGGACCUUUGUAACUUUAUAUACACCAUGCGCAUGAAGGAGCCAAAAGGUCAGAGGGCAUCAGAACUCCCGAGGCCCCCAGUGUGGGCGCCAGUUGUGUGUGAGCUCAGGUCCUCUCUAGCCCCACAAAUGCAAUUUUUAUUUUGUCCUUACUGCCCAGGGCCUGUGUGUUGAACAGAGAGCCCAGAAUGAGGACAGGUAGAUCCACAGUAUUCUCAGAUGUCCACCUGCCCGGGAGCAGAGAAUCAGAGGUGCUCUGGAGUAGCAGUCCUCAAAGGGAGCCCUGCAGAGUGUGUGCUUUGCAGGCGAAGUAACAAGAUGCUGCUGCCUGUUCACCCUGGCAGGAGGCCGGCGAGACACGCUGAAGAGGAGCCCUAGCAGCCUGAGUGCCUGCCGCCCACUCCCCAGCUCCACUGUCAUUGCAGGAUCAGACAGAUUCCUGCCUUCAGUCCACCCGGAGCCCAGCACCAGUGCCUGACACUAUAUUUCCUACAUGAUAGACUUGCAAUACCUCCAGAGUAGGCUGGAAUGGAAUAAAAAGAAGCCACUCUUUGCUCAUGGACAGGAGCCUUAAUGGUUAGCGAGUGUGUACCAGACUACACAGCCUGGGGAGAGAAGUGAGGCAGGGAAGGGUGAGGGGAUGGCGUAGGGAUUUACUCUGUCUUGGGGGAGUGAACACAACUCUACACAAGGUACACAUGUUCUAACCACUAUGCACAAAUGAGACUCAGAGGUGAGAUGGGUUAAACGGGUUGCUCAUAGAAGGGCGGGGUUAUAACUGACUAUAAGGGAGACCCAGGCUCCCUGAAAGCCAUAGUGACCUAAGAAAAAUGUGUCUUCAUCCUGGAUGUCUGUGUCCUGGACAAAAGUCGCAUGUAGCCCCGAGGCCGUGGUAAGAUGAAUCCUGCCCCUGUUUGGGAUCUGGACAUCUCAGCAGCCCUGGGGAUGGUGCCGGUUCAGGUUUGUUCUGAGUCAGAAUUCUGCUACCCACUUCCCAGAAAGGGACCCAGUCCCUGCCCAUGCAGCCCUGGGUGAGCCUCUUGGGCCUCACUUUCACCUUCCUCCAGAAAGAAGAAUUCUGUGGUGACUUUAUCGGCAUCUAGGUUUCUGUCCUCCUUUGGCAGUUCCAAUGAGUUCUUCCCUUAGUUUCCCAAUUAAGUCAUUCUUGGCAUGGCUAGUGCUUGCCACCAGGCCCCUGUGGUGAGGCAGGAUGGCAGGUGGUGUGAGUUCCUGCCUGGGAGGGACAGCCUGAUCUAGCCCUGUGGGUGCUUAGAUGACAGCUAGGGAGAGAGACGAGUCCAUUGGCUGUAACUGGGCUGCCCACUCAACCUCCUGCUUCCUGCAGCUACCCUGCCCUGCUGAGCUGGUUUCCUAGUCUGUAACCUUGCCAACAUGGCGCCCACCCCAGAAGUGGGUCUUCCUGAGUGGUGUAGGCAUGCCAAGGUCCUGCUCUGGGUCUGCACACUCGCCUGGUUUAUUAGUCAUCUUUUUCCAUUUCUUUUCAUCCAGGAUUUCCCUCUGUAGACAUUGUUGGCAGAGAUGAGUGAGGUCACAUGAUUGAGCCGCUCAGGAGACCCCUGCCCCAUUUGUUCUAGGAACUUUUCUUCUUUCUACUUGACAAAGGCAACCUGAGGAAAGCAGAGUUGACUUGGCUCACCAUUCCAUCGUGGCAGGAAGGGGCAGCAGUCGGAAAAGACGGCAGCUGCUCCCUUCGUGCAUAGCAAGCAAAGACCACCCAACCCUUGGGCUCGGUUCUUCUUCCUUUCAUUAUGUCUGAGACCUCAGCCCGGGAAAUGGCACCACCCACUUCUAGGGUGAGUGUUCCCACCUCAAUUAACCUAAUCUAGACCGUCCCUCAUUGAAACUCCCAGACAUUUGUUUCCAUGGUGACUCUAAAUUCCAUCAAGUUGACAGUCAAGAGUAACCAUCUUAUCUUGUGUUUGUUGGCAAGCCAGCCUUGUCUAUUCAGUGGCCUCCAGGGCAGUGGCAGACAUUGUUGAGAGGAGUGGACAACUCCUGGGGAUUGAUAUUUGAAGCCGUCUUCGGCCUUUACACGUAUGUGCGUCCAGAGGAGCACAUGCAUAUGUAGGCAUACAUAAAAAGAAGUGGAGGCAGGCGGGCGGGCGGGCAGGCAGGCAAGAGGAGCUGGCUACAUUGUCUUUCUCCACACUCCACUCAGACAUUACUGGUGAUGGCAUUCUGGAGCGCAAGGCCUGCCAGACAGCCUUUGUUAAAUACUUGUAUAUUGGCCAGAAGCAUGGCCCCCACUUUCCUUAGCAAAGCCGUUUCUUGACCCAACUUGAAAUGACGGUCUAUGCAUCACUUUACUGGUGCUUUCCAGCUGGCGACCCUGGAACCUUUGUUAGAUGCAUGGUGGAGCAUUUGACCUUGGCCUGACACCCAUCAAACAGGGCCCUGUCAGAAUUUAAUAGAGAAAAAAGUGUAAUGGAGAAAAAUUACAUUUUUAUUUUUAUUUUAUGGCUCUAGCAAUGAUACCUUUGAACCCCAGGGCUUUGGAGAGUGCUCGGAGGCCUGUUCAAGCUUGCGUGCCCCUCUGUGGAGUGUGAUAGGCAGGCUGUAAAUGUCUUCUCCGAUGAUACAUUUUAUCUUUGUUGCUAAGUGAUGAGUCCGUACCGCCAUGGACAUUGCUAUUUCACCGUGGGAAAGGACACAGCCCAGAAGCUCAGUUAUACAAAAGUUUAUUUUUAAUUUUGCAAUGUAUUACCAACUUCACCUCUAAAGGAUGAUACUAUUUUUCUAUUCCAACCAGCAAUAUGCAACAGUGCCCGUCUCCCCCCCCCCCCCCCGCCCCCUUUUUUUGUAGUGUCUCUAAUAGAGGGUUGUAAAGGUUUGGAGUUUUGUGAGUCUGAUGUGACAGUUGAACAAAUAUUCAAGGCAACUUUUAAAUUAAUCUGUGUUUUGUUUUGAGACAGAGUCUCUCUACAUAGCCACAUAGCCCUGGCUGUUCUGGAACUCACUGCAUAGACCAGGCUGGCCUUGAACUCGCAGAGAUGUAUCUCCCUACCUCUGCCUUCUGAGUGCUGGGAUUUAAAGAUGUCCAUCACUAUGCCUGGCUUUUUUCUUUUAACUUUAUGUGUAUGUGUUUUGCCUAAACAUAUGUUUGUGUACCAUGGGCUUGCUUGGUGUCUGUGGAACCCAAAAGUGUGUGUUGGAGUCUCUGAAUCUGGAGUUGUAGAAGGGUUGAUAAGUGCCCUCCCUGUAGGUGCCAGGGAUCCAACUCAGGUCCUUGGUAAGAGCAUACAGCACCCUUAACCACUGAGCCCUUUUGAUUGCUUUUGUACUUGAAGCAUAACAUUUACAUACUGGCAAGGUGGCUCAGUGGAUAUAGCCACUUAUCUCCAAGUCUGACAACCUGAGUUUCAGAACCAUGGCUGACAUGAGCUCCAGAGAACUGACAGCUGAAAAUUGUCCUUUGACCUCCACAGGUGGUUCGUUCUCUCUCUCUCUCUCUCUCUCUCUCUCUCUCUCUCUCUCUCUCUCUCUCUCUCUUUCUCUCUCUCUCUCUCUCCAUAAAUGAAUGUAAUGGGCAAUCUUGGUCGUGAGCCUGGUGGGGUUGGGGAGUAAACAAGGGAAUGCCAAGGCACCUGGCAUUGCACCUAUUCGAGAAGGCUUCAGCGUGACUGUCUGUGAGGUGUUUCCAGAGACAGUUAGACCCUGGGGUGGGGAAGGGAUGGGGCGUUGACCUCAUGAAUGGUUUAGUUCAUUAACAGAUUUAAAUUUUGAGUAGACUCUGAUAGAUGUGUGAUUGGUGAGGCCUGGUUGGAGGAAGUGGUGUCUUGAGUGGGUUCUUAGGUGCUAGGUCCUGCCCUAACCACUUUGCUGUUACUACUCCAACCUGCUUCCUUCAGCCAUGAUGUGAGCAACUUUACUGUGUCCUCCUUGACGAAAUGAUGGAAGCCUCGGAAAUCACGACGUAAAGAAAUUCUUCUCUUGAACUGUGUGUUGGGUCACAGCACUGAUAAGCCUGUAGAACAUAUGUAACAUGUUUCAAUCCUAAGGCUUUGGUUUAAUGAUUUUUUUUCACACAAGUGUGUACCUCAGAAACUACCACCCAGGCCAUUACACAAGACAUGUCCAGCACCUCAAAGGGUGACCUCAUGCCCCACACCAGUCAGUAUUCCUGUUGUCUUCUGUCUCUAACGGUGAUAUGUGUCUGUCUGAACGCCAUAUCAUGCUGCUGCUGUUUGACUUUUGACCCGCUCAUUGUGUCUCUAAGAAUUAUUCAUGCACUGUACAGCAACAGCUCUCUUUUGCUGCUUGGUUAAUAUUUCUCUUUGUGAUCGCAUCACAUGCUUAUCCAUUUAACUCUUGGUGGACAUCUGGAUUUCUAUCCGAGGAAUUGUGAGGAAAGCUGUUGUGAAUGUCUCAUAGAGUCCCUUGUAUGUGUUUAGAUAUAGAUCUUGUGGUGUUCAGAUGAGAAUGCCCCUCCCCCCCCCGACUCAUUUGUUUAAUGCUUGUCCCCUCGCUGAUGGAACUGUCUGGGAAGGAUUAGGAGGUGUGGCCUUGUUGGAGGAGGUGUGCCACUGAGUGAAUUUUGAGGUUUCAAAAUCACAAGCCAUUCCAGUUAGCUUUUCUGUCUGCCCCACAGUGGUUGUCUCAACAUGUAAGCUGUCAGUGACUGCGCCAGUGUAUGCCUGCCUGCUGCCUGCUGUGCUCCCUGCCUGCUGCGUGCUGUGCUCCCUGCCUCAAUGGUCAUGGACACCCUCUGGAGCUGCCAAGUCCAGAAUUACUUUAUUUUAUGUUACCGUGGAGUGGUGUCUCUUCAUUGCCAUAUAAAAGUAACUAAGACAAUACUGUUUAAGCAUUUUCUAAAGCUUCUUCAUAAAGUUCAAGACCUCCAUUCCAAAGAUGUUAAGUCCCUGUCUGUUGUUUUACAGUGGGUUUGUCUGCUUUUCCCUACUGAUCUGUGGCAUACAGUGUCCACCCUUUAUUGAGGAAUUCCAUUGCAGACAUCUUUUUCCCAGCUCUUUUGCAACAUUCCCAUCUUUUGGUGAGUAAAUGUUCUCUAUCUUAGGGAAGUUGGGAUUAGCAGUCUCUUCAGUGCUUUGAGGUAUUAGUACUGGUUUAAGACACUUGACCUACUCUAAGGUCAUGGGAUUUUUUUAUCUGUGUUUUCUAUGUGAAAGUUUGUUUUGCCUAUUACAUUUAGAACUAAAAACCCACCUCAAAUUCCUUUUAAAAGCAUUGCUUCAGAACCAUCUAUUACAAAGUUUAAUCUUUCCUCACUGAACUGCAGAGACCACCCCCCCCCAGCUAAAGGUCAAGAGGUCACAAACACGUAUGUGUGCUUUGAGAUGGUUCUUUCUUUUUAUUAUUAGUUUGUUUUAUAAGCCUUCCUACUUUAUUAUCCUCAAAGGUUAUUGUGCUAUCCCAGCACUCAGGGGGCUGAGGCAAAGAGGAUCACUAAUUGGAGGGUAACCUGGGCUACAUAGCAAGACCCCGUCUCAAUAUUCACUCUCUCUCUCUCUCUCUCUCUCUCUCUCUCUCUCUCUCUCUCUCUCUCUCUCUCUCACACACACACACACACACACACACACACAGAGUGGCCUUUUUGCUUUCCAUCAUCUCAGUUAGCAUCCUUUCCUAUGGAGGCCAUUGAUAUUCCCUCCUACAAAAGGUUUGUUUCAUCCCUGUAUUGGUUUUCCACUGCCAUUGUAAUAAGUUACUUAAAGAUUAGUGGCUUAAAACAACAUACACACAUUGUCUUAAGGCUGAAGUCAGCAGUCUUGAUAGAUCUCUGGGCUAAAGGCGGGAGAGUGGUUUCUUCCUUUUCUUGAUAGCUCUAGAGUGAAUCUGUCACCAUUCCCACCUUCCAUGGACUGCCCAUGUCCUCUUCAGAAUCGACUUGCACCCCUUUUUUUGCAAAGCCAGAUGGAAACAUUUCCUCUGGUUCAUCUGACGCUGACUCUUUCUUCCCUUCCCGUCUUCAUUUAGCCUCUUGAUUAUAUUGGACCCACCUGGAGAGUCUAGCACCAUCUUUUAUGGUAAUGUCGGCUAACUGGUUCCCUUCAUUUGCUCAUUCAGUUACCCUUUGUCAUCUAACCCUCGAUUCACAGGCCGCAGGACCUCAGCAACCUUGAGUGGCAUUAUUCCAAUCAUGGCGUCCUACCCCUGUGUUGCAGGGUCUAAAUGGCCAUGAUCCUCACUCUCUACAGUUAACCCUAGUGUGGAAACACUCAGAUAUGGGGUCUCUGAGAGGUAACUAGGUUACGACAACUGUCUCAUAAGGAAGAUUGAUGUCCUUACAGAAGAUGCCCGUGGGAGUUUGUUUGUCCAUUUCCCCACAUGAGGACAUGUAGUGAGUGCCGUUCAUGAGAAAUAGCUUCUGCCAAACACAAGGCCAGAAUUGGCCUUGUAACUACCAGCAUCCAGAUUUUCAGUGGUAAAGGUCUUUUUAAAAGUGACCACAGUUGGGGCAUUUUGUUAGAGCAACCCAGGCAGGCUGAUAGCCAUCUCCCACUGUGGACAGUUGGUCGUUAGGAGUGUUCUCCAUAAGAGAGUCCUCUUUCUUGGCCAGUAUUAUUGCACACAUAAUUUCCUGAGUUUUUCUCUUUCAUUUUUGCUUUUGGUGUCUUUUGCUUAUUUUGCCUUUAUGAUUUUUGCUAUUUAGCCUUUUCUGUUAGCAAGGAUUAAAUGUAUCAGUCCUUUCAAUGUGGCUUCUGGAUAAGCCGGUGCAGCCCUCCAUAGGUGUAUAUGAAGGUACAGGUUUGCGCAUGCAUGGGAGUCAAGACACAACCUCAGUGUCGUUACUCAAGUACUGUUUUGUUUUGUUUUGUUUUGUUUAAAGACAGGGUCUCUUGUGAGUCUCUAAUCUGCCAAAUAGGUUAGGCUGACUGGCCAUCGCGCCCAGGUAUCUGCCUGUCUCCACUUUCCAAGAGCUAUGACUAUAAACUUUACACACCCCUGUGCCUCGAUUUCUCCUUGUGGGCUCUAAAGAUUGAACUCACGUCCUUCACAGACUGAACUCUCUCUCUCUGGCCCUGUGCUUCUUAUCUUCUUCUUCUUUUAAUAUGUGAGCUGUUGAUUCACUUGGAAUCUAUCCUAGUUUAGAAUGUCAGGUGUGGAUUCAACUUCAUUAUUCUCCAGAUGGCUCCUCAAUUAUCUCACUACUGUUGAUCGAAGUCUUUGGCUGACUUCCUGGCUCCUGUUGCUAACAGAGGAGCCCUAAGGCUCAAAGAGAGGGAGGGACUUCCCCAGCUUGCCAGCCAGCGGUAGAGGAUAACAAGUUCCUCUCUGGACGGGGCUGACGGCUGCUUCUCAAGGGGCUCCUGAGGCUGUGUGCUGUGGGUGCGCGUGGGCAGAGGGGACACUAACAGGGCUUCCGUUGCCCCUGGUGCUCACUGCUUUGCCUCAUCCUGUCUCACACUGCUCUGGAAUUGACAGAUUUAUUUCACUGUCUCACCUGGUGACUCGGGUGCCAAAUUUCCUCUCCUCCAAGCAGAAACAUAAUUGAAGUUUCCACAUCUGGAAGCGGUGUUGGAUUGUUUUGUUUGUUUUUCUGCCAUUUUUCCUUUAGAAGGGAUGUUUAUAUCUCUUCACAGGAAUCAUUCUAAAUGACGUGGCAAGGUGAGGCCGCCAGGCUGUAGAAAAGGCUCCUGUACUUGCUAAAUUACUGUCAGGCUGGCCCUUUUUAGCACAAAGGUGACUAUGACUUUUGUGUGUGUGUGUGUGUGUGUGUGUGUGUGUGUGUGUUUCUCUGGUUCUUCUAGAGUUGUUUAGGGUAGCAGACAUGGCAGUUGUGACUCUCUGAACUCUCUCAAUGACACAGAAGUCAUUGAGAGCUUUCAGAGACCAAAUCUAAUAACCAAGGUGAAUUCAAGGCAAAACGUGAAGAAUUGGAGUAGAUCAGAAUCCUUCUGCUAUGCAAGGGCUGAACUCUGCUCCUGGCAGUGGCUGACGCUGUAACCUCAGGCAUUCAGUUAUUUGGACAAGAUGAUUUCUGAAGUCAUCUGCAGCUCUCAGCAUCUGUCCUUGUGUCUGUGACCCGUGCCAAAAUGAUAAAACUAAGCAGUGCACACGUAUCCCUCAGUUGCUUUUGAAUAUUGACUGACUAGUAUAACUGUCCCCUUCUUUGGUUUACUCAUCGCUGAUGAUGUGACACAUGGCAUUCUGUGGAGAGAUAGAAUAGUAGGGUGUCUUGGAGAGCUCAGAGCUUCGGAUGAGAUGUGACAGGCGCUUUGCUUGUAGAACCUGAAGGGAUAGACACUGGGUGAAGGAGUACGAAAUAGACAAGAGUGAGAAGAAGAAGAAGAAUGGUCGGUUUUGGAAACACCUGAGAGAGAGGUAGGCCCCGAGUGACUGAAGGAAGAGGCAACGUUCUGCACAAGGGUGGACAUGAGCAAGUCCAGGAAGGCUUUAAAGUGGGAGUCAGGGCUGAAGGAUAAGUGGUGAUCACCAAGACAGUUUAGCAUUACAUGGGGCCAAGUCCUCAACCUCAUUGACUUUACUGCACAGACAGAGUGGAGCCAGGAUGCAAAAUACUUCAGAAGCCGAUGAAUAUAAGAAAUAAUAAAAGGACAGUGUCCUUUUUACAGAGCAGAAGCACAGCGAGAGUGACUGAGUGACUGCGAAAUGCUGGCACCACUCUGAGUCUUCUGCAUGUAUCAUUGCGGCUAGCUAUCACGUGAGGGCUGGGGGUGUAACUUGGUCCUAGAGUCUUUGCCUAGCAGGCGUGAAACCCUGGGUUUAAUCCCCUCUCCAUCCUGGGAGUCGUCACUCCAUAAAACAGAAAGUAGAUAAGUGUAUCCCAAUCAAGACCUCAGAGUGGUGCGUGUGUGCGUGCAUGCAUGUGUGUGUGUGCGUGCGUGUGUAGAUUCCCACUAAUGCCUGCUGACUCUAUGGGUGUUCUCUUCUCAUCGUGGUUCGACCUCUUGUGAAGAUCAGACUUGGUGGUCACUCAACCUUCCAAGCAGGGUGACUUGAGCUUUUAGGCAGAAGAAAGCCAACAGCAGAACUGUCCUUACCAAUAGCUCUUGUCUAGAGGGCUGAGGCCAAGCUCUGUCUCUCUGUGUGUCCCCUGAGCUCAGAACUUUAAGGACCUGUGCAUAGCUACUGGGUAGCUUUGACUGCGGCUACACAGUCAAGCCAGUGAGUCUGACCUUGGGCAAAGUCUAGGGGUGCACAUGUCUCCCUGGGGACACCUGGACUCACAUUGUACCUGCUGUUCCUGUUGCCUUUUGCUUCUGUGGAACCCCCUGUGUCUUCUGGGAGUGUCCACUGCUCUCUCUGUGGCCAUUGAGCCAGAUGCACUGUCUGAGCAGAGCAGAGCUUCCACAGCAUUUCAUUUGGCUGCUCCCAGAUUCAUUCACUCAUUAAGAGGCUGAGCCCAGGCUGAGACCUGAGCACUAGACAAGUCGUUACUUGGGCCAGAUGACCUUCCUCCUCCUUCUCCUUUUCUCUGUGGCCUCAGUAACUUGGCCUUUUGUGUAACGUAUGGAAAUAGGUUUCAGGAAGAUAAUGGCAGAAUGGAUUAUCGACCCUCAAAUAUUGGCCAAGCCAUAGCGAUAGUAACAUAGCAACAGCUGACGUGACUGGUCCAUGUUUGCCUUAACCCACUUUGCACGUGUUAUUGAUCAUUUAUAGUAAUAGUAAUGUGGGUGCUGCCAUACAGACUCCACAGACAGGCACAAGGAAGAGAAGGCAAAGGAAGGAGGGCAUUGUCCUACGUAGUCUAGUGUGAGCAGUUCAGAGUCCGAGAUAGUUGCUUUGUAAUUCUUAUUCAUUCAUCUGUUGAUAAGAGCUGCACAUGGGGCUGCCGCUGCCGCUGCUUAAACGCUCUAUUUCGGCCCCUCUCUGUGAAGGCACAGGAAGACAACAUUUGCUUACUCUGAUCCCAGAAGAGUGGGAAGAUUUAUGUCUCGUGAAAUGGCUAAUCAGGACCUACACAGGGGUUGACAUUGGAGCUGAGAUCAACAGAAUAGCUCGAUGCGGGGGUAAACUCAGAACAGCCCUAGCAUGUGGUCAGCAUGUGCUAGGGAGGCCCAAGCAUGUGGACCCAGUCCUAACCACCAAGAGGCUGGCAGAGGAGGGGUAGGCUUAUGGGUUCUGCUGCCUUUGAUUUGUCAGUGGGACAGGUAGUCUGGUCUGAACACCAUCAGCCAAACGGUCCCACAGAGGAGUUUACGGGGAAGGUAAGAGUGGCGUGGUUCUUAGUGUCUCGGGUUCCAGCAUCACAACCAUAAACCCAUGCCUGCAGGGUUACCUUUGUUCACUGCAGAGAGAGCUCACCAAGAGCAGGUGGCCAUGUUUUCUUUGGUAAUAUUGAGUGUAUAGAGCUAAAGUAGGGUUGGAAAGGCCAUCAGAGGCCAUCUCUGUCCACCACCACCUAUACCAAAAUGCCCUGGUCUUAGAGGGGUCAGUGCUGUGACCCAGUGGUGAGCCCCCCAAAGCAGAAGCCCAGACACUAAGAAAGCAGAUCUCCUACCACUCUGCCUAGAACUGUGCUUUCUUGGGAGGGAAUUUUUGUAACAGCUGCUCACUCCCUGGGAAGAUGGCCUUUAAUCUUUGCAGCAUUAUUGACAACCUUCUGUUGAUCUUACCCGGCCUCCUCUGCCUCCGCCUCACUUUAGAUAGGUGUCUUUAAAACAGUUUGUAUUUUCUGUGUGUGGGUGUUUGUAUGCAUGCGUGUAUGUAUGCCAUAUGUGUGCCUUGUGUUCACAGAGGUUAAAGGAGGGCAUCAAGUCCCCUGGAACUGGAGUUACACGUGGUUGUGAGCUGCCACGUGGGCACUGCUGGGAAUUGGACCCGGGUUAUCUGGAAGGGCAGCCAUCUCUCCAGCCCCACAUUGGGUUUCGUUUUUCACAUUGUAAAGUGUUUAAGAGUGGCUGGAAAUGAAUGAUGCCGAAUUUGCAUAAAAAUAAGAUAGAACAUUAUUUUUAUCAACAUUAUUUUAUAGUCAUCAAAUGGACUUAAUGUGGAAAUAUAGUUCUGUAGGUUUUAAUGAAUUUACAGUAUCUACAAGUUGCUUUGCCUAGGCUACAUGAGACCUUGUCUCAAAGAACGCUUACUUUGGGUGAGUUACGCCCCACUCCCCUUGAGCUGUCUCCCUGUAGAAGAGGAGGCUGAGACUAGUGAAGCAAAUCAUGAUGGCUGACUAGCACAGAAAGGGCCGAGCUCAGUCCCUGACCCACAGCAGUCCCAGUACAGGAGAUCUCUGUUGUUGCUUGACAAAGCUUGGCCUGAUCUGGCUGUUGAGUUUUACCAUCUAAGAAUUGUUCUUUAGGGAAGAGGGUGCGUUAGCCAAGGUUCCGUCAGACUCCGUGUAUACAAAGAGUUCAGGGUGAGGCUUGGUCUACACAGCUGUGGGGACUGCUGCAUUCAUCCUUAUGGCUUACUGUCUGGAAGGGCAUGCCCAAAGAAACAGUGGGGCGGGAACUGAGCUGCAUGGACUUGCAUGGACAAGCCGAACUGCUUGGGAAACACCCUUUAUAAGGCCCACUGACUACAUCAGUUUCUGUGCACGGGGCCACCUGAUUCUUUUAACUACCUCUGCACAAUACCAUCCCAGCAACAAGAGGAACCAUGGUUAUUUGGAUAAAUAGGUACAGGCUGGAGGGUAAAACUCAUCAUCGCAUGGCCCAGUCUGUGUUUAGGAAAAUCAUUCUAAUGGUAGCAUCGAAGCCAAGCUGGUGGUGACAGGGUCAGAAACACAGAACAGAGGAUGAAGACUGGGUGGCUUCCUCACUGCCGAGGCAGUGUAAUGAGAUACCACACAGGUAAUGUCAGAGCUGCAAGUCUGACGGGCACUUUGUUUUCAACCACUGUAGUGACUGGGACCGUGGCUUGCCCGGAAAGCCUUUGCUGGGAGUCAGUCUUUUUGGUCACUUUUCCUAUCACUGUGAGAGGAUAUCUUGACAAAGGUAACAAAUAAGGGGAGGCGGUAUUCUGGCUUAUUAUUCAAGAGUAUAGCCUGUCAUGGUGGGGAAGUCACAGCAGCAGGGGCUGGUCACAUGACAUCCACAGUCAAGCAGCAGAAAAGGAUGACUCAUGCUGCUGCUUAGCUUUCUCUCUCCACCCAUACAGUCCAGGGUCCUAGACAGGGAAUGGCACCACCCACUGUGUACAGGUCUCUCGACCUCGAUUAGCACAAUCAGAAUAAUCCCCCAAAGGCCCAUCUCUCAGGUGAGUCUAGAUUCUGUCAAGCUAACAACACUGACCAUCACACAGCCCUUCCUGGUGGACUUUUUUUCUAGAUGCCAAGGUGCCCUUUGCAAGAAGAGGGGCCCCACUGGGAGUCUUUAUAUACAACGCCUCUUCCUGAGAAGAAACCAAAAUGGAGUGAUUGGUUCCUUCGGGCAUGGUUGACAGUGGCUCACUGUUUCAACACAGUCAGACAAAGUACUCUGCACUCCGCUCCAAGCUCAGGCUCCUCUCACCCAGUCUGCAGACAACAGGGGCUUAGUGCCCAAGGAGAACCCUGCUGAGUGCCGGCCAGUGUGCUGGCACCUUUACUGUCAACAACAAGGAGUGACAGCUAGCAUUCCUGUUCCCCUUCAUACCAAGUGCCAUGCAAGUAGGGUCUUUUUUUUCUUUUUCUUUUUCUUUUUGUUUUCUUUUCUUUUCUUUUCUUUUUUUUUUUUUUUUUUUUUGUCAUUUGGAUUUUCUAACUGCAUCAUCAGAGCAACCAUGAACUGUUAUCUAAGUUUAUCUACUUGUAAGUGGGAGAUCAUGGCAGAGAAAUUAAGCAACUUGCCUCCCAGCUACAUAAUUAUUAGUUGUACAAUUAGUGGCUAUCAAAGGAUCGGAUCCAUGUUCUGAUUCCCAAGCCCAAGGUUCAAGGCCCCAUGGUGUCUUCUUCUAUUAUAUCUGUAAUCGGAGUUUUAGAGAAAAGGCAGAGGCUCCAGCAGCUCCAGAGACUGGGCUGGGCCACCUGUCGCCAUGUGCCCAUUAAACAGCAAGUAAUGACGGAACAUGGGGAAAGGAGACUCAGUCAGUGUGAGAAAGAGGAACAAGAGCCCCAGUGACCCACAAGCCCUCCAUAGUUUCUGCCUCACGCUUGGGUUCCUGCCCUGCCUUUCCUCAAUGGUAGAUUACAACCUGGGAGUAUAAGCAAAAUAUAUCCUUUCCCUCCCAUAGAUUUCCCUUGUCUAGAGUAUAACACAUCACAGCAAUAGAAAGUAAGCUAGGAGUGUGUGCAUUAUGUAUGUGCAUGUAUGUAUUUUUGCAUGUAUGUGGAGGCCUGAAGUUGUCGGUGAGAGUCUUCCUUGAUCACUCUCAACUUAAUUCUUUGACACAGAGUCUAAACCCAGGGCUCACCCACAAGAGUCAUUUAGUCAGCUUCCUCUGAGCCUCUGUCUCUACCUUCCAAGCUUGGAAUCAUAGGAGAGCUGCUAGGCCCAUCUGGUUCUCACAAGGGCUCUGGGAAUCCAGUCCUCAUGCUUGUACAGUAAGCACUUUGUCCACUGAGCCAGCUCUCUGGUCCUCAGACCGCACAGUUGUCAUCUUGUGGCUCUUGGCUCUGGGAAUGAGCAUCUGGGAUAGGUGGGUGUGAUGGGAGGUGCAGCAGCCUGGUCCCAGGGUACAGAAGCAGAGAACUCCAUUUUCAUUUGGAAUUAUAACUCCACUUUACAUUCAGUCCUUCCUCCUUUCUGUGUAAGCGUGGGUUGUGGGAUUGUCCCCACUUCUCUGAAGACACAAAGCUUUCUGGUCAUGUCCUCUUUCCAUCAGUGUCCAGCAGUCACCUUGGAUACCAUCAGCUUCGAGGACUGUGAUCUGUGCAAACGGAGGCGUGGCACUCUUUUUCUGCAGCGUCUGCUGACAAAGCACCUUUAGCUCUCAACUUUCAAGAGUGAGGACUUCUUCCAUCAGUAACCCUGCCUCUGCACACAGUAUGGUAGACCUCACAGAUCUGAGGGUCACCUCAGUAAGUGCCACUUCGCCCAUCAGUCUCUCCUCUCUCUUCUCAAGAGGCAUGAUGCUCACACAGGACCCCUGAGGCCACACCGUGCCCGUGGGUGCAUGAACUCUGCAGAGGGUCCGAACACUAGUAUCCUGGAUGCAGCUGCUUAGACUGUUUCACCCCCUUCACACCUGAGACCUUUCUGUGUGCCCCCGGUAUCUGAUGAUAUGAAAUAGGCACCAGACAUUUACUGAUGAAUACAAAGAAAUUUAAAAUAAGUUCAAAUAGCUCUUUAGUACAUAGGCAAUUUUAUAUUUAUGAAUUAUGGAAGCUGAAUGGAGUACUAAUGGGGUAGACCUGCUCCCAUAUUUCUAUGAGAGGAAUUAAGUCUUGGCCGAGCCUUGAUAUUGCAGGGCAUGGCAUCCUCAUCAUUUUUCAGAGUUGGCCCAUGUUUUUAUUUUGUGACUGUGAAAGCUAAAAAUGCCAUUUCACAUAAAUACAUAAAACAGGGCAGCAGAAGUAUGUUCAGGGCCAUUUCGGACAUUAUUAAAAAUCCUAUCCUAAUCCUAAGUAAGCCCAAAUCCAUUUAACUUAAAAAAAAAAACCCUCAAAUGACAGUUUUUUAAAUCCAACAUUCUAACUCAGUAAAAUCCAGAGAUAGACUAAUUUUUUGCUUACACACUUAGAAAUGACAGUAGGAAAAAUAUUAGAAAGAAACCAUUUCCUUUUUGUAAAAGCAGAGAACAUUGUGUUCACAGUGGUGGCACCACCGUUGAUAAUAUAAUCUGAGUCUUAGCUGAGGUGUUUGGGAGCAUCCAUUGGUACUGGGUGUUGGGACAGCAUGCACAGUGCGGACUACGCCUGUCGUGUGCUCAGAACCAAGGAGACCAUGAAGUCCUGUGGUGCUACACAGGCGCACACUGUCAGAAACACCUCAGAGCCGUUAUGAGUUUGAUUCUGAAUUCAUUUUUGGUCAUUGUGUGCUCAUAAACUUUCUAUUGUUGUCAACUUUUUGUAAACCCCACAUUUAGUUACCUGACUCCUAGUGUAAGGAGCUGUCUUAGAGAAGAGGGACCCAUACUGCCAAACAGCCAGGUAACAUCGCAUAGCAACGUCACCGUAUUUCUUCCUUGGAACAACUCUCAACCAAGACCAGACUUUUGAAUCUUAAUGUGCCUGCUAGUUUUAUGCCAACUUGUCAUAAACUAAAGUCAUCUGAGAAGAAGGAGGCAUUUAGGAAAAUGCUCCUGUCAGAUCUAACUGUAGCCAGGCCUAUAAGGUAUUUUCUUAAUUAGUGAUUGAUGAGGGAAGGCCCAGCCCAUUGUGGGUGGUUCUAUGGUCCUAGGGUCUUUAAGAAAGGCUGAGGAAGCCAGGGGAAGCAAGCCAGUAAGCAACACUUCUCCAUGUCCAUGCCCCUGCCUCCAGAUCCCUCCCCUGUUUGAGUUCCUGUCAGGACUUCCUUUGAUGACGAUGUAAGCCAAUGAACUCUUUCCUCCCAACUUGCUUUUAGUCAGGGUGUUUCAUCACAGUGAAACUUUAACCAGGGCACCUAACUUGAAAGCCUAACAGUUGUGUGGCCCAAAUUACCGUGCUCCUCUGACUGUGGUUCCCCAUCUAUGGAUGGGGCUGUUGGUGCCCCACCACAGAGGACUGUGAGGAUGAGAGUACAGUAAAGCCCUCAACUCAGGCUGCACAGAGUAAGGCUGAGAUAGUGAUCGUGGUACUGACUUUACAGCAGAAGAAAUGCCGGGUCGGGGAGGUUAGCUGCUGUCACUCUGACUUUAUAUAAAAGGAAAGAAACCAAGGUUGGGCAUCUUGUCUACCGUUUUACCACCAGUGAGCAGAACUGUUGAGCCGCAGUUCAGGUCUCCUGAUAUCUCACCAGACACUCCUGAAAACUGAAACAAAUGAUCUCAGCUCAUCUGAACUAACCCCUUAAAGAUAGAAUCCAAACCCAACACCCUUUCUGCUAAAUCUUACUUUUCCCAAAACAGCCUUCCAGUGAAAGGUGGGUCUGUGAAUACAAGCCCAGCACGGCACCUGAGUGAUUGAGCAGACAACAUUCCGAGGAGCCUUGGCUCCCCAGGGUGCUCCGGGAUUGCAGUAUUUUAGUUAAUGGGUUUUCUCAGAGUGUGAAUCUCUUCUUUCCGCUCUUCUCUGAAAGCCACUGGGAAAGGCAUUGCAGCCACUCACUCCCUGCUGCGAGAAGAAGCUGAGUGGUCCAGGCAUGCAAUUAAAUUCUCCCAAGAUGGCAGAGGACCUUGGUGAGAGGUUCAGAUGCCAGGUGUGAAGAGCAGGACUCUCCUAACCUCCGUACAUCUGUCUGGGUCUUUCAUGGUGUUACACAGCUUCACCAUGGCAACAGUGUGUGAACACUGAGCCCGAGGGAAACAGCAGGAACACACAUCUGCACAUCACAAGCGAGGAGACUCGGGUGCAGAGAGCAGGAGUGUCUACUGGGGUUGCGUGUCAGAGCUGGGACUGCAGUGGCGUUUGCUGAGAUGGUGUCAUGAGGCGGACAGGCCUGGCUUUGAAUCCUGGUUUUGCCUGCGUAGCCUUUGAGCAAGUUAUGCUUGGGUCCCAAGGUUUCUUCACUGUAAAAAUCAGAUGAUUUCAGGGACUAGGAUACAGCUCUGUGGUACAGUGUAUGCUAGUACACACAGGCUCUGGGACCAAUCCCCAGGGGCAGCAGGGCAAAGAAGGCAGGGAGCUCAUUGAAGAAAACAUGUUGGGGAUUCUGACAGUGAAACUAGUGUCGCGCCUUAACACGUGGAAGCUCUUGUUAUUGCCUCUUUCUCCCACUUUUCCCAGCUCCCUGCCUCUGAGGUUAUUUAUAGUAAGCACAAGGGAUUGGCCUAGCCUGAGCCCACCAAACCCUAGAAGUCUCCUUGAAGUUGGUCUGCCCCGCAAACUGCGGAGGAUGGCAUUCUUACUUUCCUCUUCCUCAUAACAGCACUCAGAGCGUUCAUUCUGUGGGUAAAACUUUCUCUCCAGAGGUGCUGUGAAGCCACAGGCUAAUGUCUAUGUAUGAAAUUGUUGACCGUGAGCACCCAUGGUCUGGAAAUGCUUUUGAGAUUCUGUAGGGCAGUCUUUUAAAGACAGGCACAGGAUUUGAACAUGAGACCACGAUGUAUUUUAAAUAAGAUUGGACACAUUUGGGUGGGGUGACUAUAGACCUUCUUGUGUUCAUGUAAGCAGGCAUGUUUCGCCUCAUCUACCCAAGACUAACCCAUUGCUAACCUAAAACACUAGAGUUCGAAUCGAUCAGAGGCAUUCACUGCUAUUUAUCUUACUGCAGAAGAAAGAGGACUCAAGCCGGAAGCUGGGAGGCCGAGAGGCUGCUCUCAUCUCACCCAAGUUCAGCGAUGCCACCUGAGAGACAUUCUCUGCUUUUCUGCCUCAUUUGUAGAGACAGUGGGUCUCCUUUAGAAAACCUCCUGUCAGCUUUGCCAAAAGCUGCGAAGCCAUGUACUUACUUUAAUGUAUUAACUCAUAUCCUCAAAUUCCCUCCUAAGGAAGGCUCUUGAAUUUUGAAAACUCUGGGCUAGGGUCCAGCAUGUCAGAGGUCCAGAGUUCCAUCUCUAAUACUGUCAUGCAUUUAUUUUGUGUUUUGAGUGGUGGUGGUGGUGGUCGUGUAUUGUGUGGUUGUUGUUAUUGUUGUUUGAGACAAAUUCUCACGAUGUAGAUCAGGCUGGCCUAGAACUCAUUCUGUAGGCAAGGCUGACCUUGAACUUUGGCUGUCCUCUUACCUCUGUCUCCCAGGUCCUGUGAUUAUAGGCAUGUACCAUCACACUUGGCUUUGUCUCAGUGUUUUUACGCCUUAGUAAAAGUAAGAACUACACAAAUGCCCAGCACCCAUGCUGGAUGGACAAGGACUAUCAACUUGUCCCAUUGGCAGCAUCAGAUCUGUAGAUGUGGAUCAAAAGGCCUCCCCCCAUCCUCCAGCACCUGCCCACCUCUUGUCUCUGCCCAGUUCUGUAGAGCUCCCUUUCUUCAGAAACACCGUCACUUGCUCCCGUUUCUGUCCCCCUUGGCUCUGCUCUAAUGUGUAAGCUUUGGUUUGUAUUUACGUCUUACCUUCAUGUCUCUGUGUCUACAGCCUGGGUGCUUGUGAGUGUGUAAGAACCAAGGUCCCAGAUCCUGGCAAAAGGGCCGGCAUCAUUGAAGAACUCAAUGUUGAUUGCAUUUUCACUUUCUACUUUUUUGAUUUCCCGUGUUUACUGCCAUUUCACAAUGGCCGCUCAGUACACUUAGAAUAAAUGUAGCAAUAACUUACUGAACCGUUUAUGCGCCUCACUGAACCGUUUAUGCGCCCUUAAAAGGUAACUACCCCCCAAGUUCUCAACUCCAACAGUGCAGCAGAGCCACGUGUUAGCUCACCAAGAUGCAGGCUCCACGGCUAAGACCUGUCAGUUAUUACCUGGCCACCCUUAGGGACCUCUCAGGCCCUUUCAGCUCACUGUGGGUUGUGCGCUUUGCUAGAGAUUGAACACAGAGCUGCACACAUAUAAGGGAAGUCCUCUACGCUGGGCCCUACCUCAGGCCCAUUUGUCUGUCAGGAUGGAUAGGUUCCUUGCUGGCUCACCUGUCAGAAGCCCCAGCAGGCUGGUCUUGUUGAGCAGCACGCCAGAUGGUGAACAGCUCUGCUAGCUUCGUCACUGAGCACAUCUUCUCUGCAGAGUCUGCUUUAUACGGCAAUUUUUCUCUGCAUAGCAACACUUGAAGAUUACUUUUAUUAUCUCUAUUUGAGAUAUAUAUGUAUGUAUAUAUGUAUAUAUGGAGGGCAAAGAAAAGUUGUGGCUUUCCCAAGGCACGCCGCCCACCUUAGCUGUGUGCAAGCACACCCUGCCCUCCGUCCAGGUGUGAUAGAUCGGCACACUUGGUGGGCAGCAGUGCACCAUCAAGGAGAGGCUCCGGCUCCCCAAAUGUGCUGUGGUGCCCACCCACCUGCUUCUAGGGUGCAGUGAAGCAGUGGAAUCCAGUUUGCGGCGGUGACCUAAGAAGGGCUAUUUUUAGUAAGAAAGUAGGUCAGGGGCUGCAGCGGUGCUGCCUGCGAGAUGAGCAACCUCCCCUCUCGGCAGGACGCUUUCUCGAUUCUCAACAGCCAGAAUGGAGGUGAGGAAGGCAAGGCCGACUGCUUCACGUGAUCGCCUCUGUCAUCGGCAGGGUGGGACUCCUGGGACACUGCACACAUACACCCAAGACACAGAAGGUUUGCAGAGAACCUGAGAGAUUGCUGGAGCCUCCGCAGUGCUUGCACAGAGAGCCAGAGCCGAGUCCAGUGUCAGACUCCAGUACUGCAGCUACGUGGUCGGUCCAUCACACCAUGCUGGGAGUGAUUUUAAUAAACAGCCACCCUGCUUC